Molecule: non-coding RNA, 1712 nt
Organism: Prunus mume (Japanese apricot)
Lineage: Eukaryota; Viridiplantae; Streptophyta; Magnoliopsida; Rosales; Rosaceae
Source: RefSeq, a predicted model, not a curated record
CUCCAGACACACACACACAAACACAAUAAACACGAUGAUAAGAAAGCAGCCGCAUGCUCAAAACGAAAGCCAUAAACAUAGAAGCCUCUCUCUCUCUCUCUCUCUCUCUCUCUCUCUCUCACGAACAUCAAGUCAUCAAGACUUUCCUUAUUUGGUUGUUCAGGGGGUGAAAGGUCGCCGUUUCAGCACUGUGGAGUUGCUCAGGAAACGUCAGGUCUCUCUCUGGCAACGUGUCACCGACAACUGUACGUCUUCUUCUGCAUGAUGCAGAAAGAGAAAAAGAGGUGGAGAAGGAGAUAAGAUCAUAAGUAAGAGCAGUAGCAGUGAAUGAAGAGAGAGGGGGAGAGAGAGAGAGACAGACAGAGAGAGGGAAGAAAAGGGUACACAGCUUUUUGGUAUUGGGUUUUGUGGAGGUUGCUUCUCUUUUUUAUUUAUUUUCUUUCUUGGCCUGCAGAGCAAACCCUAAAUCCUCAUUGGCGUCUUACCCAUUGAUUUCUUUUACACCAAAACAGCAGGAACCGUAGAUUUUUGCGGUUUUUGGUAGGUUUCCUUAUAUGGGUUUCUUUCUGUGUUCUCAGAUCUGACUCAUAUAAUAUCGAUCAUUCUCUUUCUCUCGGGUUACCUUUUUCUAGUUUUGCUUUCUUCCCAGUUUCCACUCCCUUCAUUUCUUUGUUAUUAAUCAAACUUUGCGAUUUGUGACUUUAAUUUCUUGUGCCGUUGGUUGUGAAUUUGGUUGGGACAGAGAUGGAAAUUGACAGAAGAGAGUGAGCACACAGAGGCACUUGGCAUAAAGCGUAUGCUAUUGCUUUUGCGUGCUCAUGUCUCUUUCUGUCAGCUUCCCAGUUCCACUGCCGGAUUAAUUUAAUUUCUUAUUUACUUCUCAUCCAUCUAUGGCCUGUGUUUCUUCCACUACUUGUAAUCGCUCUCUCUCUCUCUCUCUCUCUCCAAAUCUUGAAUCUUAAAGCCUUUGUGGGGCUUCAAAGGAACGCUUAAUUUGCUACUUUGAAAUCGUUGAUUUUGCAGGAAGGCUUAAGGAUUCAUUUUCGAACCGUCAACACAUUAUCAAGUCUUCUCUCAGAAGAUAACUUGUCAAACAGUGAAGUUGGUUUCAUAUGCAGACAGACGAUUAAUUUCGAGAUGAAAGAGGCUUUUGGCAAACCAACCGAGAAAGACUGGAUAUUAUCGCCGUGCUGUCUAUGAAUGAUCAUCAAUAAUAAUCACCUUGUGCUGUUGGACGUUAACCUUGGAGCUAGCUCUUGUCUCUAGCAGCGGAUGAAGUCAAAACAACAUCUUUAUAAACAGUUCGUCUAUAAAUCAUUAGCUGUAAUGUAAAACACAAUUUGUUUUUAUAUCUAUUUUGAUUUUGAUUUUUUUUUUUUUUUUUUUACACAAAAAAGGUGGCAGGGAGUGUCACCUCUCCGAGCCAGGCACGGGUUAAGGGAAAUCUCUCCCCAAGGGGUUAUUUACACAUGUGGAUGAUCGAACUCGGGACCUCAUUGAGGAUCCCGAUCACAUUCGCCCAACAUGUGUGGCCUAGCCCGUUCAAUUUUCACCAGACCAAACCCACUUGGGUCUAUAUCUAUUUUGAUUUUGAUUUGUAAAGAAAUUCGCUUUUGGAGGUGUUUUUUCUUUCUGUUUAGAAGCAAGAAAACAGUAAUAAGCAGAAAGUUGGCCUUCAUUGAAUAUGUAAUGAUUUCUUCUUCGCUUUUUAU